GCAAGUCGAACGAUGAAGCCUAGCUUGCUAGGUGGAUUAGUGGCGGACGGGUGAGUAACAUAUCGGAACGUAUCCAUUAAUGGGGGAUAACUAGCCGAAAGGUUAGCUAAUACCGCAUACGCCCUGAGGGGGAAAGCUGGGGAUCUUCGGACCUGGCGUUAAUGGAGCGGCCGAUAUCUGAUUAGGUAGUUGGUGGGGUAAAGGCCUACCAAGCCGACGAUCAGUAGCUGGUCUGAGAGGACGAUC
This 246-nucleotide ribosomal RNA is filed under the name uncultured bacterium. RNAcentral's name for it is "partial 16S ribosomal RNA". It matches the Rfam family "Bacterial small subunit ribosomal RNA", at positions 57 to 305 of the family's 1533-position model. The record is from RNAcentral.